Molecule: ribosomal RNA, 279 nt
Filed under: uncultured bacterium
Lineage: Bacteria
Description: partial 16S ribosomal RNA
Rfam family: Bacterial small subunit ribosomal RNA
Source: RNAcentral
UGCCAGCCGCCGCGGUAAUACGAAGGGUGCUAGCGUUGUUCGGAAUUACUGGGCGUAAAGAGCAUGUAGGCGGAUGAAUUAGUCAGAGGUGAAAGCCCCGAGCUCAACUUGGGAACUGCCUUUGAUACUGUUUACCUUGAGUAUGGUAGGGGAUAGUGGAACUCCUGGUGGAGCGGUGAAAUGCGUUGAUAUCAGGAGGAACGCCGGAGGCGAAAGCGACUAUCUGGGCCAUAACUGACGCUGAUGUGCGAAAGCUAGGGGAGCAAACGGGAUUAGAUA